UACGAAGGUGGCAAGCGUUGUUCGGAUUUACUGGGCGUACAGGGCGCGUAGGCGGUGGGAUAAGCCCUCCGUGAAAUCUCCAGGCUUAACCUGGAAAGUGCAGAGGGGACUGUUCAGCUAGAGGAUGGGAGAGGAGCGCGGAAUUCCCGGUGUAGCGGUGAAAUGCGUAGAGAUCGGGAGGAAGGCCGGUGGCGAAGGCGGCGCUCUGGAACAUUUCUGACGCUGAGGCUCGAAAGCGUGGGGAGCAAACAGG
RNAcentral lists this ribosomal RNA (253 nucleotides) under uncultured bacterium. RNAcentral describes it as "partial 16S ribosomal RNA". It matches the Rfam family "Bacterial small subunit ribosomal RNA", at positions 524 to 776 of the family's 1533-position model. The record is from RNAcentral.